Lonchura striata (white-rumped munia) is the source of this 127-nucleotide non-coding RNA. The record is from RefSeq and is a predicted model, not a curated record. NCBI's taxonomy places the organism in Eukaryota, Metazoa, Chordata, Aves, Passeriformes, Estrildidae.
CCCCUGGAGCUGGAGAAGGAGCUGCCGGGGGAGCGCCCGGACACAGAAACCAAUGGACCCGACACGAACCACCAGGCCCAGCAGAACAAACCCCCCCCCUUCGGCCCCGCCCCCCCCGGCCCCGGCG